RNAcentral lists this RNase P RNA (331 nucleotides) under Erysipelotrichaceae bacterium. Its description in RNAcentral is "RNase P RNA component class B". It matches the Rfam family "Bacterial RNase P class B". Rfam says of the family: Ribonuclease P (RNase P) is a ubiquitous endoribonuclease, found in archaea, bacteria and eukarya as well as chloroplasts and mitochondria. Its best characterised activity is the generation of mature 5'-ends of tRNAs by cleaving the 5'-leader elements of precursor-tRNAs. Lineage: Bacteria; Bacillati; Bacillota; Erysipelotrichia; Erysipelotrichales; Erysipelotrichaceae. The record is from RNAcentral.
GUAGUUGGGUAACUGAGCAAGAAAUUGUUAGGAAAGUCCAUGCUAGCACAGCCUGUGAUGGCUGUAGUGUUUGUGCCAGCUUAAUAAAUAAGGCUGGGCACUCGUUAGAGUGACGGCGGAAGAAGCCUAAGUCUUAGGAUAUGGUGUAUUCCAUAAAGUGCCACAGAAACGAUGCUUCUAGAAAUGGGAGAAUGAAACGUUGGUAAACCCCUCAAGCUAGAAACCCAAAUUAUGGUAGGGGAGUCUUAAAUGCUCAAUAAGAAGGCAUUUAAGGACGGUUACGUAGAUAAAUAGUUACCACCUGAAAAGGUACAGAACAUGGCUUAUAGAC